UACACUUUAGUGUAUGAUGCACAAAAAUUUUUGAUAUUUUAGGGGAUAGUUUAAAUCUAUUAAGUGUAG
Molecule: transfer RNA, 69 nt
Filed under: Paranauphoeta circumdata
Lineage: Eukaryota; Metazoa; Arthropoda; Insecta; Blattodea; Blaberidae
Description: tRNA-Gln
Source: RNAcentral